UGUCUGAAUAUGGGGGGACCAUCCUCCAAGGCUAAAUACUACUGACUGACCGAUAGUGAACCAGUACCGUGAGGGAAAGGCGAAAAGAACCCCUGUGAGGGGAGUGAAAUAGAACCUGAAACCGUGUACGUACAAGCAGUAGGAGCAGGCUUUGUCCUGUGACUGCGUACCUUUUGUAUAAUGGGUCAGCGACUUAUAUUCAGUGGCAAGGUUAACCAUCUAGGGGAGCCGUAGGGAAACCGAGUCUUAACUGGGCGUUCAGUCUCUGGAUAUAGAC
This 277-nucleotide ribosomal RNA is filed under the name Vibrio parahaemolyticus. RNAcentral describes it as "partial 23S ribosomal RNA". It matches the Rfam family "Bacterial large subunit ribosomal RNA", at positions 435 to 714 of the family's 2925-position model. The record is from RNAcentral. Lineage: Bacteria; Pseudomonadati; Pseudomonadota; Gammaproteobacteria; Vibrionales; Vibrionaceae.